UUUUCUUUAGUUUUGACUCUCACUUAUCACUUAUCACCUCAUCUUCAAAUCUGUUUACAUCCCUAUAAGGGUGCGUUUGGUUCGCGCUAUCUUUUAAAGAUUCCUACUAAUCCAAUGAGAAUAAAAAAAUAUGACGGUGUUUGGCUAAAUACACUAAGUAAUCUAGUUGCUAAUAAUGGAUACACUUGAGAAUAAGAUUCACCCCAAAGUACUAAUCUCAUUCCCUUGAGGGUUGGUGGAUAUCCUCAUAUUAAUGGAUUGGGGUAAUCACAAUAUGUCUAAUCUCUUUCUUUCUUCCUACCCGCAGGCUAAUUGAUAUUUUUUUUUCUUUACACUCUAACCUUAUAUCUCUCUCUAAACUUAUUUUUCUCCCUAAAAUUCAACUUUUUUUCUCUCUCUAAACUAAGCUUUCUCUCUCUCUCUCUUUCUAAAAUUUCAACUCUCUCACUCCCUCUAAUGUUGACUAUAUUUUUCUUUCUAUUUUUUUAAUUAUGCUCUCUCUCUCUCGCUCUCUCUCUAACUUAUACUCUCUCUUCCUUUUUUUUUAAAAGAUGUUGAAACUUUUGGUAACAUUAUCUAAAAUUAAAUAAAUAAAUAAAUAAAUAAAUUGUAUAUUUUUUGUAAUAUUAAAUAAUAUGGCUAAUUAAUAUUACCGUGCGAACCAAACACAGGAAUUUCACAUUCUUAGUAAUGGGAUGAAUAGGAAUAAGAUUCUCGGAUAUCUUUUAUUUCUGGUAAUCUUUCAUAAUGCGAACCAAACGCAUCCUAUGCAUAUCGGGAUAAAAGGUUAUAUCACGUAGCAUUGCUUUAAAUCUUUUAUUAAAUAUUUUUUAAAAAAUCUCUCUCUAGUGUUUUCUCUUUCUCUUAACUUUAGUUUAGUACUGAAACCUAUCUAACACUAUUAGAUAAAAUAGAGUUGGGAUAAAAAUAUAGAGAGAGAUGUUUCUGCGUUUUUCGAUAGAACCGUAAAAAACAUAUCAUAACCAACUAAUCGCGAUAUACGAAAAAAAAUAUUACAUAUGAAAAUAAAUAAAAUAUUUUUACAUUGUACUUUCACCUAUGUAAUGAAAUUUUUUCGUAAUUCCAAACGAAGCCGUAGAGAGAGAGAAAUUUUUGCUAAAUUUUAACGAAAUGCCAUGGUAGGAAAGUAUUUAAAAAUAUGACAAAAUACAGGGUGUAAUGUGAAAUAAAAAAAAAAAACAUAAUCAAAGAAGUAAUUGAGGCACCAUAUAAAGUGCAGAGUAGAUUUUAUAAUUUAACCAAUUAUUUUUACUUGAAAUUAAUUAAUAUAUUUAUUUAUUUGUUUAAUUUUAUUAAUUAACAAAAAUAGAUAUUAAUUAAUAAAAAUGAGAUAAGAGAGUUGUUGCGGAUCAGAGUGGAUUAAAGGAAGGACGGACAUCCCCACCUCCUUGGAAUGUUAAUGGUACGGAUAUCUGAAAUUUUAUCUGAAUCCGAAUCCAAACUCGAACGCAACGAAUUUAUUCAAUGCUAAACGGAUAUAAUUUCGAAUACGAAUAUAAAAAUAAAAAUCGGACAGAUUUGGAUUCGGAUAUGAAUUUGUCUGUAUCCGAUUCGAACCCGAACUCGAUCUGAAUCCGAAUUGAUUUUACAUUAUACAUUAUAUAUAUAAAUAUUUAAUAUUAUAUUUAAAUUUAUAUUUUAAAAAUUUAUAUCUAAUAUAAUAUAUUUUGAAAUACGAUAAAGAGAAAUAACUUUUUCUGAGUUUGGAUUUUCGUGCUGGGGUUCGGAUUUCGGAUAUGAAUUUUUAAAAGCCGUCGGAUGCGGGUUUGGGUUUGGACUUGCAUUUCAAAUUUGUAGUCGGGUUUGGACUUGGAUUUUUAGAAAUCCGUUCGGAAUCCGAU
This 1862-nucleotide long non-coding RNA is filed under the name Ananas comosus (pineapple). Its description in RNAcentral is "long non-coding RNA (ACOM_LNC032435)". Lineage: Eukaryota; Viridiplantae; Streptophyta; Magnoliopsida; Poales; Bromeliaceae. The record is from RNAcentral.